GGGAUUUUAAGUUAAAUAAACUAUAAACCUUCAAAGUUUAAAAUAGAGUAGUUAGUACCUAAGUCUCG
Molecule: transfer RNA, 68 nt
Filed under: Auchenoplax crinita
Lineage: Eukaryota; Metazoa; Annelida; Polychaeta; Terebellida; Ampharetidae
Description: tRNA-Trp
Source: RNAcentral